This 119-nucleotide ribosomal RNA is filed under the name Pteropus vampyrus (large flying fox). Lineage: Eukaryota; Metazoa; Chordata; Mammalia; Chiroptera; Pteropodidae. The record is from RNAcentral.
GCCUAUGGCCACGCCGCCCUGAACAAGCCCGAUCCCGGCUGAUCUUGGAAGCUAAGCAGGGUCGGGCCUAGUUAGUACUUGGAUGGGAGACCACCUAGGAAGACCAGGUACUGUAAGUG